RNAcentral lists this ribosomal RNA (602 nucleotides) under Cicindela (Rivacindela) sp. JP-115. RNAcentral's name for it is "partial 16S ribosomal RNA". It matches the Rfam family "Bacterial large subunit ribosomal RNA", at positions 1844 to 2726 of the family's 2925-position model. The record is from RNAcentral. Lineage: Eukaryota; Metazoa; Arthropoda; Insecta; Coleoptera; Carabidae.
UUUAAGGUCUAACCUGCCCAAUGAGGAUUUAAAUGGCCGCAGUAUUUUGACUGUGCAAAGGUAGCAUAAUUAUUAGUUUUUUAAUUGAAAGCUUGUAUGAAGGGUUGGACGAGAUGAAAUCUGUCUUUAUUUAAAUUAAAAUAUAAUUUAACUUUUAAGUAAAAAGGCUUAAAUGUUUAUAAAAGACGAGAAGACCCUAUAGAUCUUUAUUUAAUUAAAAUUUCAAUAAUUUAGGAUUAUUUUAAUUUAAAGUUUUAAUUAAAUUUUAUUGGGGUAAUAUAAAGAUUAAAUAAAUUCUUUUUAUUUAUAACAUUGAUUUAUGAAUAUAUGAUCCAUUAAUAUUGAUUAUAAGAUUAAGUUACCUUAGGGAUAACAGCGUAAUUUUUUUGGAGAGCUCAUAUCGAUAAAAAAGUUUGCGACCUCGAUGUUGGAUUAAAAAUUAGCUUGGGUGCAGAAGCUCAAGAUUUUGGUCUGUUCGACCAUUAAAUUUUUACAUGAUCUGAGUUCAGACCGGCGUGAGCCAGGUCGGUUUCUAUCUUUAUUAAGAUAAAAUAUUUUAGUACGAAAGGACCAAAUAUUUAAUAUAAUUAUAUUUAUUUUUU